This 69-nucleotide transfer RNA is filed under the name Bison priscus (steppe bison). RNAcentral's name for it is "tRNA-Asp". The record is from RNAcentral. Lineage: Eukaryota; Metazoa; Chordata; Mammalia; Artiodactyla; Bovidae.
CGAAGUGUUAGUAANACAUUAUANAACUUUGUCAAAGUUAAGUUACAANUGAAAACCCUGUACACCUCA